GCUACGGGAGGCUGCAGUGGGGAAUAUUGGGCAAUGGGCGCAAGCCUGACCCAGCAACGCCGCGUGAAGGAAGAAGGCUUUCGGGUUGUAAACUUCUUUUCUGAGGGACGAAGAAAGUGACGGUACCUCAGGAAUAAGCCACGGCUAACUACGUGCCAGCAGCCGCGGUAAUACGUAGGUGGCAAGCGUUAUCCGGAUUUAUUGGGUGUAAGCGGGGUGUAGGCGGGAAAGCAAGUCAGAUGGGAAAACUCAGGGCUCAACCCUGAGCCUGCAUUUGAAACUGUUUUUCUUGAGUGCAGGAGGAGCAAUCGGAACUCCUAGUGGAGCGGUGGAAUGCGUAGAUAUUAGGAGGAACACCAGUGGCGAAGGCGGAUUGCUAGACUGUAACUGACACUGAGGCACGAAAGCGUGGGGAGCAAACAGGAUUAGAUACCCGGGUAGUC
Molecule: ribosomal RNA, 443 nt
Filed under: uncultured bacterium
Lineage: Bacteria
Description: partial 16S ribosomal RNA
Rfam family: Bacterial small subunit ribosomal RNA
Source: RNAcentral